UACGUAGGGGGCAAGCGUUGUCCGGAAUCAUUGGGCGUAAAGCGCGUGUAGGCGGCUCGAUAAGUCUGCUGUGAAAGUUCAGGGCUCAACCCUGAAAUGCCGGUGGAAACUGUCGAGCUAGAGUCCGGAAGAGGCGAGUGGAAUUCCUGGUGUAGCGGUGAAAUGCGCAGAUAUCAGGAGGAACACCGGUGGCGAAGGCGGAUCUCUGGGCCUUGCCUGACGCUGAGGCGCGAAAGCUAGGGGAGCGAACAGG
Molecule: ribosomal RNA, 253 nt
Filed under: uncultured bacterium
Lineage: Bacteria
Description: partial 16S ribosomal RNA
Rfam family: Bacterial small subunit ribosomal RNA
Source: RNAcentral